GUGGGACUUAUUGAACUAGACACUCAAAUGAUGAUUGGAUCAAAGUGAUGGCAAAAACUCACUCAGCAGCAGAGGUGAGCCACAACCAAGAACAAAUGUGUUAUUGCUCAUACAAUGCAUGUAAAUACUAUGACAUGAAGCUUCCUGGUCUCCAGACAAAAGCUCUCAUGGGCCUUUGACCAGGUGAGCUAAAACCAAGAAUAUUGUUUUCA
Molecule: long non-coding RNA, 212 nt
Filed under: Mytilus galloprovincialis (Mediterranean mussel)
Lineage: Eukaryota; Metazoa; Mollusca; Bivalvia; Mytilida; Mytilidae
Source: RNAcentral